This 440-nucleotide ribosomal RNA is filed under the name uncultured bacterium. RNAcentral's name for it is "partial 16S ribosomal RNA". It matches the Rfam family "Bacterial small subunit ribosomal RNA", at positions 338 to 795 of the family's 1533-position model. The record is from RNAcentral.
CCUACGGGUGGCAGCAGUGGGGAAUAUUGCACAAUGGGCGCAAGCCUGAUGCAGCGACGCCGCGUGAGCGAAGAAGUAUUUCGGUAUGUAAAGCUCUAUCAGCAGGGAAGAAAAUGACGGUACCUGACUAAGAAGCUCCGGCUAAAUACGUGCCAGCAGCCGCGGUAAUACGUAUGGAGCAAGCGUUAUCCGGAAUUACUGGGUGUAAAGGGAGCGUAGACGGAUGUGCAAGCCAGGAGUGAAAGCCCGGGGCCCAACCCCGGGACUGCUCUUGGAACUGCGUGGCUGGAGUGCAGGAGGGGCAGGCGGAAUUCCUGGUGUAGCGGUGAAAUACGUAGAUAUCAGGAGGAACACCGGUGGCGAAGGCGGCCUGCUGGACUGCAACUGACGUUGAGGCCCGAAAGCGUGGGGAGCAAACAGGAUUAGAUACCCGUGUAGUC